GUUCGCUAUGGUUAUUGUUGUUCCUGUGCUCCUUGUUUCUCACUAAGGCACUCAUUGCAAAUCAUAUCGAACGCUUCAGGAGAGGCCAUGAGAGAUGGGGGUGACAUUUUUGCGUACCUGCCAACAGCAGCAGUUUUGGUUUGUUCAUGUUCCAGCUGUCCCUCACUCCUGUGCCUGCACGCAGACCCAGGAUGGGCUUUCACAGCCUCCAAUGGAGUUGGCCAUGAAUGCGGUUUUCUUGCAGAGCUGAACAGGAAAGCUGUGGUUUGCUGCCGUGCGUAUGAGCUAAACCAGCGUGUGCAUGAGGUGGAGACUGGAGAAGAUGACGUGUGAAAUUGCUGGAAAAAUAGGACUGGGAAGGAGAAACACACAACACUCGGAGU
Columba livia (rock pigeon) is the source of this 383-nucleotide long non-coding RNA. RefSeq lists it as uncharacterized. The transcript is spliced from 3 exons. The record is from RefSeq and is a predicted model, not a curated record. NCBI's taxonomy places the organism in Eukaryota, Metazoa, Chordata, Aves, Columbiformes, Columbidae.